GACGAACGCUGGCGGCGUGCUUAACACAUGCCAGUCGAACGGGAAGGCCCUGCUUUUGUGGGGUGCUCGAGUGGCGAACGGGUGAGUAACACGUGAGUAACCUGCCCUUGACUUUGGGAUAACUUCAGGAAACUGGGGCUAAUACCGGAUAGGAGCUCCUGCUGCAUGGUGGGGGUUGGAAAGUUUCGGCGGUUGGGGAUGGACUCGCGGCUUAUCAGCUUGUUGGUGGGGUAGUGGCUUACCAAGGCUUUGACGGGUGGCCGGCCUGAGAGGGUGACCGGCCACAUUGGGACUGAGAGACGGCCCAGACUCCUACGGGAGGCAGCAGUGGGGAAUAUUGCACAAUGGGCGGAAGCCUGAUGCAGCAACGCCGCGUGCGGGAUGACGGCCUUCGGGUUGUAAACCGCUUUCGCCUGUGACGAAGCGUGAGUGACGGUAAUGGGUAAAGAAGCACCGGCUAACUACGUG
Molecule: ribosomal RNA, 468 nt
Filed under: uncultured bacterium
Lineage: Bacteria
Description: partial 16S ribosomal RNA
Rfam family: Bacterial small subunit ribosomal RNA
Source: RNAcentral